AGAGCAGUGGCCACUAACCCUCACACUGCAGAGCUUUCUGAUCUGGCCCAGGCGGUGGUAAGAGUAGAGAUGUUGAAGCAUCAGGAAGACUGGACUGGUUUGGCACAAGUGUUCUGUGGUGUUUGUGUUGGUACACACAUUCCUACUGAACUUACCAGGUUCUGCUCCUGUGUUACAAUGGCACUGUUGAAAGAACCUAAGGACAAACUCACCCUCCCAUAUGAGUUAUUUGCUGAAUCAGUAUGUCAGCAAGUCUCAUUCGAUGACAUGAUGAAAACCAUUCUG
Molecule: long non-coding RNA, 285 nt
Organism: Xyrauchen texanus (razorback sucker)
Lineage: Eukaryota; Metazoa; Chordata; Actinopteri; Cypriniformes; Catostomidae
Exons: 3
Source: RefSeq, a predicted model, not a curated record